Molecule: long non-coding RNA, 360 nt
Organism: Mytilus trossulus (common blue mussel)
Lineage: Eukaryota; Metazoa; Mollusca; Bivalvia; Mytilida; Mytilidae
Exons: 3
Source: RefSeq, a predicted model, not a curated record
GUAUCUCCAGUUAUAACAGCUCCUUCGGAGGUGGAAAAGUUUUAUUAUACAGAAGCUAAAUUAGUUUGCAACGUGACAGGAUAUCCAAAACCUGACGUAAAAUGGCUAUACAAUCAUGAAGAAUACAAUGCUACUGGGGACACCUUUAUUAUAUCAACAGUUACAAAUGCCACUAUCGGAAUCUACACUUGUAUUGCAACAAACGAUGCUGGAACAAGUCAAGCAAACAUAAUACUUAAAGUCACAAACGAUGCACCUACUAUUGUUUCCUCACCAAAGCCAUCUAUAAGUAAACCUGGUGUUUCCAUCAAUUAUACAUGUGUAGCUACCGGACACCCUCUUCCUGUUAUUUUAUGGACG